GCGGCGAACGGGUGAGUAACACGUAGGUAAUGUGCCUUCUGGUGGGGAACAACCGUGGGAAACCAUGGCUAAUACCGCAUAUCGUGCUUCGGCAUGAAAGCCUCUGGGGCAACCCGGGGGCGCCAGUCGAGCAGCCUGCGUCCCAUUAUUUAGUCCUAGUUGGUAGGGUAAUGGCCUACCAAGGGUACGAUGGGUAGCUGGUCUGAGAGGAUGAUCAGCCACACUGGAACUGAGACACGGUCCAGACUCCUACGGGAGGCAGCAGUGGGGAAUAUUGCGCAAUGGGGGAAACCCUGACGCAGCCACGCCGCGUGAGUGAUGAAGGCCUUCGGGUUGUAAAGCUCUGUCGGGAGGGACGAAGGGGAAACCCUGACGGUACCUCGCAAGAAAGCACCGGCUAACUCUGUGCCAGCAGCCGCGGUAAUACAGAGGGUGCAAGCGUUGCUCGGAUUUACUGGGCGUAAAGCGUACGCAGACGGUGGGGAAGGUCGGAUGUGAAAGCCCUGGGCUCAACCCGGGAACUGCAUCCGAAACCGCUCCGCUAGAGUAUGAGAGAGGAAAGCGGAAUUCCUGGUGUAGAGGUGAAAUUCGUAGAUAUCAGGAGGAACACCUGCGGCGAAGGCGGCUUUCUGGCUCAUUACUGACGUUCAGGUACGAAAGCGUGGGUAGCAAACAGGAUUAGAUACCCUGGUAGUCCACGCUGUAAACGAUGUGUGCUGGAUGUCGGAGGUAUUCACCCCUUCGGUAUCGAAGUUAACGCGAUAAGCACACCGCCUGGGG
RNAcentral lists this ribosomal RNA (780 nucleotides) under uncultured Pseudomonadota bacterium. RNAcentral's name for it is "bacterial SSU rRNA". It matches the Rfam family "Bacterial small subunit ribosomal RNA", at positions 95 to 878 of the family's 1533-position model. The record is from RNAcentral. Lineage: Bacteria; Pseudomonadati; Pseudomonadota.